This 238-nucleotide ribosomal RNA is filed under the name uncultured bacterium. RNAcentral's name for it is "partial 16S ribosomal RNA". It matches the Rfam family "Bacterial small subunit ribosomal RNA", at positions 524 to 761 of the family's 1533-position model. The record is from RNAcentral.
UACGGAGGGAGCUAGCGUUGUUCGGAAUUACUGGGCGUAAAGCGCACGUAGGCGGCUUUGUAAGUUAGGGGUGAAAGCCUGGAGCUCAACUUCAGAAUUGCCCUUAAGACUGCAUCGCUUGAAUCCAGGAGAGGUGAGUGGAAUUCCGAGUGUAGAGGUGAAAUUCGUAGAUAUUCGGAAGAACACCAGUGGCGAAGGCGGCUCACUGGCUCGAUACUGACGCUGAGGUGCGAAAGCG